UGGGGAAUAUUGGACAAUGGAGGCAACUCUGAUCCAGCAAUUCUGUGUGUGUGAAGAAGGUUUUAGGACUGAAAAACACUUUUAGUAGGGAAGAAAGAAAUGACGGUACCUACAGAAGAAGCGACGGCUAAAUACGUGCCAGCAGCCGCGGUAAUACGUAUGUCGCGAGCGUUAUCCGGAAUUAUUGGGCUUAAAGGGCAUCUAGGCGGUUAAACAAGUUGAAGGUGAAAACCUGUGGCUCAACCAUAGGCUUGCCUACAAAACUGUAUAACUAGAGUACUGGAAAGGUGGGUGGAACUACACGAGUAGAGGUGAAAUUCGUAGAUAUGUGUAGGAAUGCCGAUGGUGAAGAUAACUCACUGGACAGCAACUGACGCUGAAGUGCGAAAGCUAGGGGAGCAAACAGG
RNAcentral lists this ribosomal RNA (407 nucleotides) under Verrucomicrobiota bacterium. RNAcentral describes it as "Verrucomicrobia bacterium partial 16S ribosomal RNA". It matches the Rfam family "Bacterial small subunit ribosomal RNA", at positions 355 to 776 of the family's 1533-position model. The record is from RNAcentral. Lineage: Bacteria; Pseudomonadati; Verrucomicrobiota.